Molecule: ribosomal RNA, 606 nt
Filed under: uncultured Actinobacteridae bacterium
Lineage: Bacteria; Bacillati; Actinomycetota; Actinomycetes
Description: bacterial SSU rRNA
Rfam family: Bacterial small subunit ribosomal RNA
Source: RNAcentral
GUGGGGUAAUGGCCUACCAAGGCGACGACGGGUAGCCGGCCUGAGAGGGCGACCGGCCACACUGGGACUGAGACACGGCCCAGACUCCUACGGGAGGCAGCAGUGGGGAAUAUUGCACAAUGGGCGCAAGCCUGAUGCAGCGACGCCGCGUGAGGGAUGAAGGCCUUCGGGUUGUAAACCUCUUUCAGCAGGGAAGAAGCUUUCGGGUGACGGUACCUGCAGAAGAAGCGCCGGCUAACUACGUGCCAGCAGCCGCGGUAAUACGUAGGGCGCAAGCGUUGUCCGGAAUUAUUGGGCGUAAAGAGCUCGUAGGCGGUUUGUCGCGUCUGCUGUGAAAACCUCAGGCUCAACCUGGGGCUUGCAGUGGGUACGGGCAGACUAGAGUGCGGUAGGGGUGACUGGAAUUCCUGGUGUAGCGGUGGAAUGCGCAGAUACCAGGAGGAACACCGAUGGCGAAGGCAGGUCACUGGGCCGCAACUGACGCUGAGGAGCGAAAGCAUGGGGAGCGAACAGGAUUAGAUACCCUGGUAGUCCAUGCCGUAAACGUUGGGCACUAGGUGUGGGGCUCAUUCCACGAGUUCCGUGCCGCAGCAAACGCAUUAAGUG